GAUGAACGCUGGCGGCGUGCCUAAUACAUGCAAGUCGAGCGAACAGACGAGGAGCUUGCUCCUCUGACGUUAGCGGCGGACGGGUGAGUAACACGUGGAUAACCUACCUAUAAGACUGGGAUAACUUCGGGAAACCGGAGCUAAUACCGGAUAAUAUAUUGAACCGCAUGGUUCAAUAGUGAAAGACGGUUUUGCUGUCACUUAUAGAUGGAUCCGCGCCGCAUUAGCUAGUUGGUAAGGUAACGGCUUACCAAGGCAACGAUGCGUAGCCGACCUGAGAGGGGGAUCGGCCACACUGGAACUGAGACACGGUCCAGACUCCUACGGGAGGCAGCAGUAGGGAAUCUUCCGCAAUGGGCGAAAGCCUGACGGAGCAACGCCGCGUGGGUGAUGAAGGUCUUCGGAUCGUAAAACUCUGUUAUUAGGGAAGAACAAAUGCGUAAGUAACUAUGCACGUCUUGACGGUACCUAAUCAGAAAGCCACGGCUAACUACGUG
RNAcentral lists this ribosomal RNA (497 nucleotides) under uncultured bacterium. RNAcentral describes it as "partial 16S ribosomal RNA". It matches the Rfam family "Bacterial small subunit ribosomal RNA", at positions 28 to 507 of the family's 1533-position model. The record is from RNAcentral.